AGAUGCCAAACGAACUGAACGCGUCUCGAAGAAGUUGUGGCGAUAUUUAAACAAAACUUCAGUACUUCAAACGUCGAUGUUUACGCCCAUGUAAGAUGGAUCCCAUGCAGGUGGUAAGUAAAAUUUAAUGUUGUUAGAAAUUUGAAUGUUGUUUUGACAAGACACUUAUGUAUACUCAAUAACCAAAUUCGACAAUUCCACGCGUAUUUGCAUUGCGCGUAUUGCUGUAUUUUUAGGUCUAAAGGCCCACACAGACCGGACGCGAUUUGGAAACGCGACGCGAAUUUUCAAUGACAUUUAACUUCACUAUUUUUCUAUGUUUUUCAAACAUUCGGAACCACUUAAUUAAGCAAUUUUAGCUAUUUGGUCUGCAUAUCUUGUAAAUUUUUUAUCCGUUGACGGUUUUUUUUUUAAAAACUAAGAAUCCGCGUCACGUUGUCGAAUCGCGUUCGGUCUGUGUGGGCCUUUAUAAAUGUAUAUAAAAUGUACACUUGAUAAUGUCCAUCUACAAUUGAACUUUCAUGCAACUAAUAAGCGAUAACUGGUUAAAAUUUUGAUUUUUAAAAUUUUCCUAUAUUGUUAUAGUUGCUAUUAUGAGUUAUUAUGCGCCCGCCAGCUUGUCCCAGAUUUCUGGUAGAAUGAGAUUCAUAAUCGAAAUUCCAUCUAUAAAACCAAAAGAAUCCGGAUAAUUUUGGAAGAUUUUAAAACUUUCUCUAUAUAUUUAUCUUAUUAUAACAAAUGUUUAUUUUUGUGCAAUAUUUUUUAGGACCAACAGUUACAACCCAGCUACCAAAAUCUUGGCAGAAACUUGUGAAAUAGAUAUCUAUAAUAUUUACAGGUAUGUGUCAAGUGCAUUAUUUAUAGUUAACCGUAUAAUGUUAAUAUAUUUUGCGUUCACUCGGGACGCACGGACGAAUUCUAGCACAGCUAAGAGAACGGUCAAUAUUUAUGACGGGGGGGGGGGGGGGGGGGGGNNNNNNNNNNNNNNNNNNNNGUUA
Molecule: long non-coding RNA, 998 nt
Filed under: Paramuricea clavata
Lineage: Eukaryota; Metazoa; Cnidaria; Anthozoa; Malacalcyonacea; Plexauridae
Source: RNAcentral